RNAcentral lists this non-coding RNA (70 nucleotides) under Sulfitobacter guttiformis KCTC 32187. RNAcentral's name for it is "L2-Alphaproteobacteria ribosomal protein leader". It matches the Rfam family "L2-Alphaproteobacteria ribosomal protein leader". Lineage: Bacteria; Pseudomonadati; Pseudomonadota; Alphaproteobacteria; Rhodobacterales; Roseobacteraceae. The record is from RNAcentral.
UGGGACCUUCGGGGCCCUCUAACCACAGCGGACCUACGGGGCCGCAGACAAGCAAAACGGAAGACAGAGA